RNAcentral lists this ribosomal RNA (246 nucleotides) under uncultured bacterium. RNAcentral's name for it is "partial 16S ribosomal RNA". It matches the Rfam family "Bacterial small subunit ribosomal RNA", at positions 335 to 579 of the family's 1533-position model. The record is from RNAcentral.
UGCCUACGGGACGCAGCAGUGAGGAAUAUUGGUCAAUGGACGCAAGUCUGAACCAGCCAUGCCGCGUGCAGGAAGACGGCUCUAUGAGUUGUAAACUGCUUUUGUACGAGGGUAAACGCAGAUACGUGUAUCUGUCUGAAAGUAUCGUACGAAUAAGGAUCGGCUGACUCCGUGCCAGCAGCCGCGGUAAUACAGAGGAUUCAAGCGUUAUCCGGAUUUACUGGGUGUAAAGGGCGUGUAGGCGGG